This 1333-nucleotide long non-coding RNA is filed under the name Monodelphis domestica (gray short-tailed opossum). RNAcentral's name for it is "lncRNA (ENSMODG00000045436.1)". The record is from RNAcentral. Lineage: Eukaryota; Metazoa; Chordata; Mammalia; Didelphimorphia; Didelphidae.
GCCCAACCACCAGCCCCGUCCCUCCUAUUGCAAAUGAAGUGUUCCUAGUCACCUUUGGAGAGGUUUCUAUCAGCAUUUUAGAUAGAAUUUCUCUUUAAAGCUCUAUGUCCUGGUUUUGUUAGUAAUGCAUGAAAAUGUCAAGGAUUCAUGGAAUUUUUAUCCUUGGUUACUUUUUGGAAUGUAAUUGUAUCCGUUACCUUUGAAUCCAUUGGCUCAGGUUCUCUAAGUAAAUCAUCCACUGCAAACUCCUUGAGGUAGGGACUGGUUUUUUUUUUUUCUCUCAUCAGUAACCUCAUCACUUAGCACAGAGCCUAGUAUACAGUAGGUAUACCCUGCUUAGUCUUUAGAAUUCUAGCAACCAGGAAUGCAUACACCCCCGCUUAAGGAUUAACUGUGAGAAGCAUGGCCUAUGACUGGCAUUUGCUAGCAAGUGACAAAUCAGGAACAACUGACUGACCCCCUGGGCUGUCCAAAGCCAAGAUUAAGGCACCAUUAGUACAUGUGAGACACAGGAAGUGACAUAAAGAAAGGCCUUUAUAUUUUGUGUCACUUCCUGUGAGAGGGGCUUUUGUGGACUUUGGUGGUGGAACGUGGCUUGAUGGAGCUCUAGCAUGGGACCUCCAUCUUCUUCCCUGAACAACCAUGUGAACAUGAACCCCUCCAUUCAGCUUUAAUUGCAUGGAGAUUUAAUUUGGCCUUGCUGCUUUGAAGUCCAUAUCAAGCACUGAAAAAAAGGGCUAUUGUGACUGUUGGCAAGGUCUCAGGAAAAAAAAAAAAAUCCGGUGGCUCCUGCGCUGACGAAUUUCUGAACUUCCACCUCCAGAAGACAGUUGACAGACUGACAUUUUGUAUUGCUGAAUCUGUUAAGCUAUCCAGAUUUAAAUACAGCAGUAAGCCGGAGGAGCAACAUGACAAUGGUGGUCCACACUGCUUAUAUGAUUUCAAAAAUAUUAUUCAGCUGAGGCUCUUUUAUGCAGGAGAAAGAACAAGGAAGGAGAGUUGCAUACUGGGAGCUAAGAUGAUGAGUAAAGGAUGCUCGACUCCCUCAAUCCCCCCCCACUCCCACACCCAAAAGGAAAUAAAUUACUUCAAAACAAAGGAAAACUGGAGGAUCCUGCCUUACUCAGAUGAGAAGACAUAUUUCAAAAAGCAAAGAACCCAGAUCUACAACCUAGAAUUACGCUCCCAACAAAACUGAGCAUAAUCUUGUAGAGGAAAAAAAUGACAUUCAAUUAGAUAGAGGAAUUUCAGAAAUUUCUGACAAAAACCAGAGCUAAAAAGAAAAUUUUAUGAGCAAUUUUGACAUUCAAUAAAAGUUAAAUUAAAACUUAAG